UGCGUAGGUGGUUGUUUAAGUCUGUCGUGAAAGCCCAGGGCUCAACCUGGGAAUUGCGAUGGAAACUGGGCGACUAGAGUGUGGCAGAGGGUAGUGGAAUUCCUGGUGUAGCAGUGAAAUGCGUAGAGAUCAGGAGGAACAUCCGUGGCGAAGGCGACUGCCUGGGCCAACACUGACACUGAGGCACGAAAGCGUGGGAGCAAACA
This 206-nucleotide ribosomal RNA is filed under the name uncultured bacterium. RNAcentral describes it as "partial 16S ribosomal RNA". It matches the Rfam family "Bacterial small subunit ribosomal RNA", at positions 568 to 774 of the family's 1533-position model. The record is from RNAcentral.